CCUACGGGGGACAGCAGUGAGGAAUAUUGGUCAAUGGGCGAGAGCCUGAACCAGCCAAGUCGCGUGAAGGAUGACGGCCCUACGGGUUGUAAACUUCUUUUGUCAGGGAGCAAGUGGGUCCACGCGUGGGCGUAGCGAGAGUACCUGAAGAAAAAGCAGCGGCUAACUCCGUGCCAGCAGCCGCGGUAAUACGGAGGAUGCGAGCGUUAGCCGGAUUGAUGGGGUUGAAAGGGUGCGUAGGCGGAAUAUCAAGUCAGCGGUAAAAAUUCGGGGCUCAACCCCGUCGUGCCGUUGAAACGGCUGUUCUUGAGUGUGCGAGAAGUAUGCGGACUGCGUGGUGUAGCGG
Molecule: ribosomal RNA, 346 nt
Filed under: uncultured bacterium
Lineage: Bacteria
Description: partial 16S ribosomal RNA
Rfam family: Bacterial small subunit ribosomal RNA
Source: RNAcentral